Molecule: ribosomal RNA, 246 nt
Filed under: uncultured bacterium
Lineage: Bacteria
Description: partial 16S ribosomal RNA
Rfam family: Bacterial small subunit ribosomal RNA
Source: RNAcentral
GCGAACGGGUGAGUAACGCGUAGGUAACCUGCCUUGUAGCGGGGGAUAACUAUUGGAAACGAUAGCUAAUACCGCAUAACAAUGGAUGACACAUGUCAUUUAUUUGAAAGGGGCAAUUGCUCCACUACAAGAUGGACCUGCGUUGUAUUAGCUAGUAGGUGAGGUAAUGGCUCACCUAGGCGACGAUACAUAGCCGACCUGAGAGGGUGAUCGGCCACACUGGGACUGAGACACGGCCCAGACUCC